Molecule: long non-coding RNA, 750 nt
Organism: Oncorhynchus keta (chum salmon)
Lineage: Eukaryota; Metazoa; Chordata; Actinopteri; Salmoniformes; Salmonidae
Exons: 3
Source: RefSeq, a predicted model, not a curated record
GUGUUCACAGUAAAACUGUAACUUAAAGCAGAUACAGCCUCAGUGUUCACAGUAAAACUGUAACUUAAAGCAGGUACAGCCUCAGUGUUCACAGUAAAACUGUAACUUAAAGCAGGUACAGCCUCAGUGUUCACAGUAAAACUAACUUAAAGCAGGUACAGCCUCAGUGUUCACAGUAAAACUAACUUAAAGCAGGUACAGCCUCAGUGUUCACAGUAAAACUGUAACUUAAAGCAGGUACAGCCUCAGUGUUCACAGUAAAACUAACUUAAAGCAGGUACAGCCUCAGUGUUCACAGUAAAACUGUAACUUAAAGCAGGUACAGCCUCAGUGUUCACAGUAAAACUGUAACUUAAAGCAGGUACAGCCUCAGUGUUCACAGUAAAACUGUAACUUAAAGCAGGUACAGCCUCAGUGUUCACAGUAAAACUAACUUAAAGCAGGUACAGCCUCAGUGUUCACAGUAAAACUAACUUAAAGCAGGUACAGCCUCAGUGUUCACAGUAAAUGGGAGCUGGAAAUUGAACAGGAUUUUUCACAACGUUCAAGUUGGUGCACAGCAGACCUGAAAUUUUAUCAAUGUUUAAAAAAACAAAAAACAUUGAGGGAACAUUGGCUCCAAAUAUGAAAAUGUAUUGAAAAACUGUGCCACUACUAAAUAAAUACAGGGGAAACCUUGCCUUUACGUGUUCAAGAGUCGCAAUAUAACAUGUCUGGUCACCUUGAUCAACCAAUCUAUAUUAUCUCACA